CUUAAGUGCAGUUAUAGAUUUUCGUGUCUAACGCUUGACCGUGCAUCUUAUUUGAAAUUUUUUUUAUCACUAUUUUCAUUGUUACUAGAUGAUAAAACAUGAAUAGUAAUUUAUGCCUGACUUAUUUUUUUAAAAUUGUUUAUAUUUUUUUUCAAAUAAAACAGAUUAUGAAGCGUUGGACACGGACCCCCGUAAUCGUAAUUAAA
MicroRNA precursor from Oryza rufipogon (brownbeard rice), 206 nucleotides. It matches the Rfam family "MIR812 microRNA precursor family". The record is from Rfam. NCBI's taxonomy places the organism in Eukaryota, Viridiplantae, Streptophyta, Magnoliopsida, Poales, Poaceae.